RNAcentral lists this small nucleolar RNA (107 nucleotides) under Capsicum annuum. RNAcentral's name for it is "Plant small nucleolar RNA R71". It matches the Rfam family "Plant small nucleolar RNA R71". Rfam says of the family: R71 is a member of the C/D box family of snoRNAs containing the C (UGAUGA) and D (CUGA) box motifs. Multiple nearly identical copies of this snoRNA have been identified in Arabidopsis, and it is thought to function as a 2'-O-ribose methylation guide for 18S ribosomal RNA. The record is from Rfam by way of RNAcentral. Lineage: Eukaryota; Viridiplantae; Streptophyta; Magnoliopsida; Solanales; Solanaceae.
UGCUGAUGAUGUGGACAGUCCUGACAAAAAGUAUUGAACCACUCCCAAGCAUGAUAUAAAUUCUCAUCUGGCUUCUGUUUAAAACACACAAUCUCACUGCACAGUCU